This 133-nucleotide ribosomal RNA is filed under the name uncultured bacterium. RNAcentral describes it as "partial 16S ribosomal RNA". The record is from RNAcentral.
CGGGGCCUUCUUCUUGGGUACCGUCAAGUCCGAAGACCUUCUUCCCCAAGGACAGAGCUUUACGAUCCGAAGACCUUCAUCGCUCACGCGGCGUCGCUGCGUCAGACUUCCGUCCAUUGCGCAAUAUUCCCUA